This 450-nucleotide ribosomal RNA is filed under the name uncultured bacterium. Its description in RNAcentral is "partial 16S ribosomal RNA". It matches the Rfam family "Bacterial small subunit ribosomal RNA", at positions 354 to 796 of the family's 1533-position model. The record is from RNAcentral.
GUAGGGAAUCUUCCACAAUGGACGCAAGUCUGAUGGAGCAACGCCGCGUGAGUGAAGAAGGUCUUCGGAUCGUAAAGCUCUGUUGUUGGUGAAGAAGGAUAGAGGCAGUAACUGGUCUUUAUUUGACGGUAAUCAACCAGAAAGUCACGGCUAACUACGUGCCAGCAGCCGCGGUAAUACGUAGGUGGCAAGCGUUGUCCGGAUUUAUUGGGCGUAAAGCGAUCGCAGGCGGAAUGAUAAGUCUGAUGUGAAAGCCCACGGCUCAACCGUGGAACUGCAUCGGAAACUGUCAUUCUUGAGUGCAGAAGAGGAGAGUGGAACUCCAUGUGUAGCGGUGGAAUGCGUAGAUAUAUGGAAGAACACCAGUGGCGAAGGCGGCUCUCUGGUCUGCAACUGACGCUGAGGCUCGAAAGCAUGGGUAGCGAACAGGAUUAGAUACCCUUGUAGUCC